RNAcentral lists this long non-coding RNA (769 nucleotides) under Fukomys damarensis (Damara mole-rat). Its description in RNAcentral is "lncRNA (ENSFDAG00000025951.1)". Lineage: Eukaryota; Metazoa; Chordata; Mammalia; Rodentia; Bathyergidae. The record is from RNAcentral.
CACAGGGCUCCGAGAACCAGUGGGCACUGUGGGAUAACUACGAAACACAGGGAAGUCCCUUGCGGUAAAGUGAAAGACAGGAAGGGUAAAGAAAACAACAGCAGUCCUUUUAGGUUCGGCCAGGGCAGAGCGCCUGAGAAAGUGCCAGCGAGAGAGAGGCAGGCAGUCAGUGAAGCCACGCGCAGACUUUCUGCUCCUGCCGUCUCGUCUCUGGGAUCGGAGAGAAGAUGGGAUGAAAGGAGAGAAGAGGAGAGGAUACUAUUCUCUGGUGGUCUGCAAGCUUUGGGGCUUUUCCUUCAGCCCCGCAUGGAUGGCUUCUCUUACUUGAAAGGGGUCUAACCUGAUAACUCUGGAUUCUAAACGAACACUGAAGUAAGCCUCCUGAGGCCUUCUUCUCCUGAGAGACUUAAUGAGGGUCCUGUGGGAGAACAUCUUCUUUGCCGAGUUUAUGUCUUAAAUCCUUUUCAGGGAAAAACGACCGGAACAGAGGCCUGUGUCCUUCUGGCUGGCGGAACUCCUAGGCCUCGUCUCUCUCGCCUCCAUCUCCUGUCUGCAGGAAUCCCAGGAAUGGUCAUCAGUGCCAGAUUUGUGGCUAGCUUAUUUAUACAUAGUUUUAGGGUGCCAGAGUCGUCGUAAUCUAAACCAUCAACUAUGUCCGAUUAAAUGUGUAGUAAGUCCUAACUUCAACAUUCCUGUGAUGACAAAGCCAGGAAAAUCUCGCCUGAGCCCAGGCUGUUCUGCACUGAUCACAACCGGCUUUCUGGAGGAG